UACGGAGGAUGCGAGCGUUAUCCGGAUUUAUUGGGUUUAAAGGGUGCGUAGGCGGACUGUCAAGUCAGCGGUAAAAUUGAAAGGCUCGACCUCUUCCCGCCGUUGAAACUGGUGGUCUUGAGUGGAUGAGAAGUACGCGGAAUGCGUGGUGUAGCGGUGAAAUGCAUAGAUAUCACGCAGAACUCCGAUUGCGAAGGCAGCGUACCGGCAUCCAACUGACGCUGAGGCACGAAAGCGUGGGGAUCAAACAGG
This 252-nucleotide ribosomal RNA is filed under the name uncultured bacterium. RNAcentral's name for it is "partial 16S ribosomal RNA". It matches the Rfam family "Bacterial small subunit ribosomal RNA", at positions 524 to 776 of the family's 1533-position model. The record is from RNAcentral.